This 494-nucleotide ribosomal RNA is filed under the name uncultured bacterium. RNAcentral describes it as "partial 16S ribosomal RNA". It matches the Rfam family "Bacterial small subunit ribosomal RNA", at positions 28 to 507 of the family's 1533-position model. The record is from RNAcentral.
GACGAACGCUGGUGGCGUGCUUAACACAUGCAAGUCGAACGGAAAGGCCUGCUUUCCCUUGUGGAUUGCGGGUACUCGAGUGGCGAACGGGUGAGUAACACGUGAGUGAUCUGCCCCCAACUUGGGUAUAAGCCUGGGAAACUGGGUCUAAUUCCCGAUAGGACUGCAGGGUGGUGCCUGUGGUGGAAAACGACUUUCUAGUGGUUGGGGAUGAGCUCGCGGCCUAUCAGCUUGUUGGUGGGGUAAUGGCCUACCAAGGCGGCGACGGGUAGCCGGCCUGAGAGGGUGGACGGCCACAUUGGGACUGAGAUACGGCCCAGACUCCUACGGGAGGCAGCAGUGGGGAAUAUUGCACAAUGGGCGGAAGCCUGAUGCAGCGACGCCGCGUGGGGGAUGACGGCCUUCGGGUUGUAAACUCCUUUCGACCGCGAGGAAGCCACCUGGUUGGAAGGGUGGUGACGGUAGUGGUAGAAGAAGCACCGGCUAACUACGUG